Molecule: ribosomal RNA, 114 nt
Filed under: Acanthosepion pharaonis
Lineage: Eukaryota; Metazoa; Mollusca; Cephalopoda; Sepiida; Sepiidae
Source: RNAcentral
UUACGGUCAUAUCACGUUGAAACAUUGAUUCUCGUACGAUCACCAAAGUUAAGCAACGUCGACCCUGGUCAGUACCUAGAUGGGUGACUGAUUGGGAAUACCAGGUGCUGUAAG